RNAcentral lists this ribosomal RNA (419 nucleotides) under uncultured bacterium. RNAcentral's name for it is "bacterial SSU rRNA". It matches the Rfam family "Bacterial small subunit ribosomal RNA", at positions 355 to 773 of the family's 1533-position model. The record is from RNAcentral.
UAAGGAAUAUUGCUCAAUGGGAGAAAUCCUGAAGCAGCAACGCCGCGUGGAGGAUGAAGGGUCUAUGACUUGUAAACUCCUGUAAAGAAGGAAAAAAUUCCCAUUAGAUGGGAGAUGAUGGUACUUCUGGAGUAAGCCCCGGCUAACUACGUGCCAGCAGACGCGGUAAUACGUAGGGGGCAAGCGUUGUCCGGAUUUACUGGGUGUAAAGGGUGCUCAGGCGGAUUUGUAAGUCAGAGGUGAAAUCUUACAGCUUAACUGUGAAACUGCCUUGGAUACUGAACGCCUAGAGUAUGGAAGAGAGUGAUGGAAUAUCUGGUGUAGCAGUGAAAUGCGUAGAUAUCAGAUAGAAAACCAAUGGCGAAGGCAGUCACUUGGUCCAUUACUGACGCUAAAGCACGAAAGCGUGGGUAGCAAAC